CCUGGGGAUGGCAAUGAACAAAUGGACUAGAGGUCCCUGCCCUGUGAGCUUCCAUCCCAGUGGGGGCUGUAACAGGUCACACUGAGCCAACCUGAGUUCCUGAAAUGAAAACCACCUUCCCUCAGCUUGGCUUUCAGCUGAGUGACUCAGGAGCUGGCUCUGACACCCUGGCAGAAGAACUCAAAAGCCAGAAGUUUGGAAGAAACUUUAUUUUGGUAUCUGAGUGAGAAGGAAAUACCUGGUGCAACUCGUCAGCAUUCAAGAGGAAAACAGAGAGUAAUAAUAAUAAUAAAGGAUGGUAUCCUGGGUGAAGACAGAUAUUCUUGGAAGCAGUUGUACAACCUAAUGUCCACGAUCGAACACCACAAGAGAUGGACAACAAGGAAUGCACACAGCUCCCCUUCAACGCCACCUGCCUGGUUUUCAGGUCAGAAAACUGAAGCAGAAAAAGGAGAAAGGCUGGAGUUUUCAUGGCUGAAUUGCUGGUUAUUUUGAAAGCAUUACCACCUAGCUCUGGAGGGAAUUAUGUAUACUUACAGGGAUUCAGAGGUAGACAGUUACAGGGCCCUGCUAGAGCAAAAGAGCAAGACUUUUCUGCAACAUAUUUUUCAUCCUGACUUCAACUAUUUUGUUGUAACUUCAGGAUGAAAAAUAUUUACAAUAUUGAAGUAUCUAAAU
Galeopterus variegatus (Sunda flying lemur) is the source of this 678-nucleotide long non-coding RNA. RefSeq lists it as uncharacterized. NCBI's taxonomy places the organism in Eukaryota, Metazoa, Chordata, Mammalia, Dermoptera, Cynocephalidae. The record is from RefSeq and is a predicted model, not a curated record. The transcript is spliced from 4 exons.